AUACCGGCGGCUCGAGUGGUGGCCGCUUUUUACUGGGCUUAAAGGGUCCGUAGCUUGAUCCAUGGGUCCCUUGAGAAAUCCAUCAGCUUAACUGCUGGGCGUUCAGGGGAAACUGUGGUUCUAGGGACCGGGAGAGGUAAGAGGUACUGCCGGGGUAGGAGUGAAAUCCUGUAAUCCCGGUGGGACGACCUAUAGCGAAGGCAUCUUACCAGAACGGCUCCGACAGUGAGGGACGAAAGCGUGGGGGAGC
RNAcentral lists this ribosomal RNA (250 nucleotides) under uncultured bacterium. RNAcentral's name for it is "partial 16S ribosomal RNA". It matches the Rfam family "Archaeal small subunit ribosomal RNA", at positions 473 to 720 of the family's 1478-position model. The record is from RNAcentral.